ACUCCUACGGGAGGCAGCAGUGGGGAAUAUUGCACAAUGGGGAACCGACUGAUGCAGCCAUGCCGCGUGUGUGAAGAAGGCCUUCGGGUUGUAAAGCACUUUCAGUCGUGAGGAAGGUAGUGUAGUUAAUAGCUGCAUUAUUUGACGUUAGCGACAGAAGAAGCACCGGCUAACUCCGUGCCAGCAGCCGCGGUAAUACGGAGGGUGCGAGCGUUAAUCGGAAUUACUGGGCGUAAAGCGCAUGCAGGUGGUUUGUUAAGUCAGAUGUGAAAGCCCGGGGCUCAACCUCGGAACUGCAUUUGAAACUGGCAGACUAGAGUACUGUAGAGGGGGUGAGAAGUUUCAGGUGUAGCGGUGAAAUGCGUAGAGAUCUGAAGGAAUACCGGUGGCGAAGGCGGCCCCUGCGCAGAUACUGACACUCAGAUGCGAAAGCGUGGGGAGCAAACAGGAUUAGAUACCCUGGUAGUGUACU
Molecule: ribosomal RNA, 472 nt
Filed under: uncultured bacterium
Lineage: Bacteria
Description: bacterial SSU rRNA
Rfam family: Bacterial small subunit ribosomal RNA
Source: RNAcentral